Capsella rubella is the source of this 477-nucleotide long non-coding RNA. RefSeq lists it as uncharacterized. The transcript has 6 exons. The record is from RefSeq and is a predicted model, not a curated record. Lineage: Eukaryota; Viridiplantae; Streptophyta; Magnoliopsida; Brassicales; Brassicaceae.
CACAAGGUUGGUCAUAUUACCAAUCAGGUAAGAUGUGAAACCCAGGUUGAAGAGCAUGAAAAAUACAAAAAACAACAUUUCCCGGGGGUUCUCAGCAUGAUAUUGAUCUGCAAUGAGGUAGUUGAAACAUCCAGCACAAUGUACUGCAAAAAGGGUGACCUGAUAUAUAAAAUUAAAUAGUUGAAGCGGAUAUCUUUCUCAAGCCUGAAGGAAAGUAACAAUGAGGGAAAUAUAUUAAUAUUUGUGCUGCUUCUUUAAAAUGAAGACUCAGUGACUGGAAUGGAGCUGUUGAGCAGACAUCAAAGGCGAACCAAGUAGAAAGGUACCUGAAAAGUUUGUCAACUAGAAGAUAAGAGUGGCUGUCAAGAUAAGCAACAAAGAAGGUGAUGAAGGCAAACUCAAAAGGACAAAUCCAAGCAGAGUAAAUCACAAGAAUGACCAGCCACAUCUCCCAUGCCCUGAAUUCAUCAGUGAGCC